ACGAUUCUUUAUUCACAAACUUCUCAUCUGACCCCAUAUAUUUCCCAUGACAACAGAUUUCUGUUUGGAAUAUAUUUAUUGUCACUGGCCCACCCUUUUGUCAAUCUCAUAAUAGAAUAUACCUUUGAUUCAUUCUCCCUGGCCUUCCCUCUGCUGCAUUGUCCAUGAAUGGAUCGAUCUUGGAUAUUUGCAUGAAUCUCAAAGCAUGUUGACUAUUACCAUCUCAGUGCAUUUGUUCUUUCCUGGAAAAUUUUGAAGUCAUUUCUCACUUGUUCAGACCAAAGAGACUCAAGAAGAGGAAAUGACGAAGAUAUAAGGAGUGCUGUAAAAGACAAAAGAAAAAGAUGACUCCUAACAAGAAAAACAAUAAAGUAAAACUUAUCAGACGUGGAUGCCAACUCUAGUGGUCAUGACAUGCACACGUGGCCUAUCCUCUGUCGUUAAUUGUCUUUCACAAUCUCCAUCUGAUGAUUUCCCUCUCAAUCCUUAUUCGACUUGUAGUUCCCGAAGAAUUUCACUAUCACGACUCUCUCAUUUUGAUUUCUCUCAACUCCCGUCGCCUUAUGAUGCAUGCGAAGGUUUUCACCGGUAGGACUCUCUCAUUAUAUUACUUUUCAGCUGGGGUUGGGGUGUUAUAGAUAAGACUCUCUCAUUUUAUUUCUUUUCUGGGGAUCGAAGUGUUAUUCUCUACUUCUACUUGCCUGACUUUGCAUCCUUUGCAGACUGGUCAAAAGGUCUUUCUUUUGACCGUAAUGUAGGAUUUUGGAUAGGCUAGGAAUAAAGGGUAUUAAAGGCUCAAAGAAAUCAACUUGGGUUCAAAAUUACAACCUUCGGAACUAGAUUUCUUUACAACAAACACAACUUUUGCCCCAAUUUCUUGCUUGUGGAUUUUUUUAUUAUUUUUUGUUACACUAUGACCGAGCUGUUAAGCGCCUACGUAUCCUCUUUGAGGAAUCAGGUCAAACGUAGUUCACCAAAUUCCUACUUGUUCUAGUUUUCCUUUUCACGUAUUUAUUAUUUUCUUUUUCUUUUUCUUUCUCUUUUAUCUCUUUUUUUCUUUUUGUUGGUUUGUUGUCUUUGUGUUUUUUUUUCUUUUUCUUUCUCCUUUUCUUCUUCUUAUCUUUUUGUGUUUCUACUCUUUGCUACUAAUUCCGAAAUAGUGGUAUGAAAGAAAACAAAUAAGGCUCAAAGGGCUAACAAAAGUGUUUAGAUAGCAGAACAAAAUGCCUCUGUCAUUCCAAUAUUCAAAACAUGCCAAGCACAAACAACACGAUUAAACAAAGAUUUGUGACAUCUUUUGAUCUUACUAGUCUUGAUAACUAUAUCCACAUCUUUGCUUUCUUCAUCUUUGAAAUGUAAAGAACCAUUUGGGCAAAAUUUUCACUCUCGUUAUCAUGAACGACCCUUGCUUUUACGGUUUAUGUUUUAUCCGCCCACAGUUUCACAUGGUUUGGACUUCAAAUGAUCUCAAACCGUUUUUUAUUUCCUUAAGUGUCCCGACCAUCUCCCAACGGCUUUAUUAUUAACUUUUAAUUUUAGUACUGGGUUGUGCGUGCAUGUCAUGUCACUAGAAUCAGCGUUGAACAAAAUACAAAAACAAAGGAUAAAAGAACUAAAAGAAAAGGACUGGAGGUAAAAAAACCGGAAUUUGCAUUAGAUAAACGGCGAAUAGUUUGGAUAACAAAACAAGCAAAACAAACCGGAUUAUCAUCCUAGAAUGAAACUGAAGCAAACGUGGACAACACCAAACAAACCACUACGACUAAACAAAUUAGAUAAAAGGAUAAUGGGAUUUGAGUGACAAGACAAUAUCCAGAUUACAACCCCGCAAAUAACCCAGACAACAGAAAUGACAACAAAACAAGCUAAAGAUUCCUUUAUAAGUGAGGAUAAUUUUCAAUUGCCAGGCUUGAUAUUUAGCCAUAAAUUUGCUCAUAAGAAUCAACAGAGCCUUCUCGAAUUUCAACAUCAUUAACUUGAGUUAGCAAGUUCCCGCGGGGAUUCUCAUACUUCAUGUCAUCAGGUAUCAUCCCCACAAAGUGUGCAUUAUGAUUUGCAGGUAAAGGAUUCUGCAUGAUAUUCUGGCUGUCACUGUCUUGGAUCACAAUCAAGUUUUCCUGAAUCUUGUGUUUCCAGCUUGCCAAAAACCGACCACCUCAACUUUCUUCACAAUUCAAAACAGAACAUGUUAGAAUGGACUCAGUCGGCCCUCAUUAUUAACAACAACAUCUUUUUCUUUUUUUCAUUUCAUAAUUUUUUUAGAUAUAGUUGUGGUUGAAUAUUAUGCAGAUUGCCCACGUAUCAUGACUCCGCAUGAAUCAGACAUUGCGUAGUUCGGGCCAAUAAAACAAACUACUUUGAAAACAAAGACAAUUUUUUUCUCUUUUUCAUUUGAAAAUAGAACAAGCUAUUUUUUGAAAGAAAAUUUUUUUUUCCCUUUUUAUUUUAUUUUAUUUGGGAAGUAAAAUAGAACUUUUUUUUUCAUUUUAAAAAAAAAAGAAUUCGGCAGAGUUUUGACACUAUUUUGGCAUUGGUAUUUUUCAAAACAGAUGAUUAACCCUCUACACUGCUAUUUCUCUUCUUUUUUUCUCUUUUCCCCAAUUUUCCGAUAUUCCUGAUUUUCAGAAGCCGAUCAGCAUGCCAAUUUGAAGGAAAUAAAAUGCACAAGCAGUAAGUAGGAUGUAUCAGGAUGGUCUUUUUCAUUUCGGGUACACCUGUCCUAGACACACCCAACCCCUGUGUUGAGUUUCCAAAGUCAAAAUGCACAUGAUGUAAACUAUUUGAUUGUACCGAAAGGCCCAAUGAAUUGGGAUUUCCCUAUUGGUCCAGGUCAUUUCGGGGCAAGCGGAUCAUUUAUGAUGAAGAGGAUGAGCUUCAAGAGAAUGAUUCGGAGUUCUUGCAGAGUGGAACCAUGCAGUACUAAUAGGAAUUCAACCAUUAUGGCUAGGAAAAGUUUGAUUCGGAGGGAGAAGAAGAGGCAAAAAUUGGAACAGAAACAUCAUUCGAUUCGCCGAUCCUCAAAGAAAGAAAUAAGCUUCCUACUAGGGAUCCAGCAUGAGGUUUUGUUAUACUAGGUUUAAAACCUGGGUAUAUUGUUCUAGACCUGGCUUAUCCGAGCGGAUAGCUCGAGCCGAGGGGGAGGCAUCGUACUGGAAUACAGAAACUUCACUGGCUUAGCAACUUGUCCGAACCUCAUACUAAAUUGGUAAUUAGACUCUAUACAGAAAAAAGUCACACGAAGUGCACCCUGCUUCAUGAUUUAGAAGAUUCAGAGACAAAAUGGGUUUCGUCACAGUUUAUAUAUAGUUCACGAAAUAUCAAAGCGGUAAAAGUAGUCAAUUAGCACAUUAGGCACAGAACAUGUAACAAAAUCAGAUAAAUCCAAACACAACAGUUUAUCUAAGCUCGAACGGUGAACCCUGAACAAAAGUUCUGGGUUAAGAUCCCCAGCAGAGUCUCUAGAGCUAUCACACCUCUCUUUUGCCUAUGCCCGCAAGGGCGUAAGGAGAGUUUUCCAAUAAAAGGACAAUCGAAAUGAGAUUUAUUAAAAGAUUCAGAGUCGCCUCUUGGGAGAUUUAUGGUGUUCCAAGUCACCGGUUGAAUCGCAAAUCGAUUAAAAGAAUAACUCUGUAUUACAGUCUGCGAAGCAGAAAUCCGAGUAAGGAAUUCUGUUAACUUGGGAGAAGGUGUUAGCUAUUCCCGAGUUCUGUGGUUCUAGCACGGUCGCUCCACUGUCAUAUUAGGCUUAUUAAUCUGAUUUUAAUACAUGUUGAACCUAGGUGAAAAUUUUAACUUUUUACCGCUUUUAUUAUUAUUAUUAUUUAAAGAAAGUUGAACAUCGUUUAAAAUGCAUAUUUAGACUGCGUCACAUAAAAUGCACCCCCAAUCCUGAACACAUUGUAUUCGACGUUUUGGGAUUUAAUUUGGGUCAUAUGAAAUGCACACCCGAGUUUUGGAAGGUAAUAUUAUUAAAAACCGCUCCUAAAGAGACUACCUUGUUAUUAUUUUGGGGAAGGCCUACUAAAUGGCCCGUCCCGAAAUCUAAGUAUUUAUUAUAACCAUUUAUUGAGUACCCCGCAGUUUGUGUAUUUUAUUUGGCUAGGCUCGUCUCAUUCUUUAUUUAAGGAUAUCCUAAAGCGACUAUGAUUUUUCUAUUUAUUUUGUCGGUAAAAGAAAUAAAACGAAAUCCCUAAUUACUUAAUAUUAUAAUUCGAGCUUCAAAUUCGAGUCCAGAUCCAAACAAAAGGGAGCGCCUUUUAGUUUGAGCCCACUUCCCAACUUGAAACCCACAGUAGGUCAAUUGAAUACUAACAAGCCAAUUGCCGAAAGUGCCCAAACCAUGUAUCACGUAAAUUUUAGACAAAGGUCCCAAUAGCCAAUAGAUAUGGGGGCCGGAAAGCCCAAUUUAGUCAAAACAGAUCAAACCAAAGAGAUCGGAAGAUCGAAUCUCUAAGGCCGCACAAGCCGACCAUUGCUUAACCUUUUGUAUAUCUAAGAUUAUACUAACUUUUCUAAUUUUUGCCGAAUAGCACUAGAGUUAGACAACGUACACUCAUUCAAAUUAAUAACUCCAUUCAUGUCUGAUUAUCAAACAAUCAAUUCGUUUAAGUUGUGAGCUAAUGUUGCCUAGUUGUUCAAACGGGUUAUUGAUAUUGAUUACCAAUCUAUACUAUAAAAACCUUGUUGAAAUAAGGAACUCAGUGAAACAGAAGAGUUGACCUUAAUAACUACUCUGUGGGUAUUAGCUAACAAAGAUGCGAAGCUCGCUUGGCAUAUGUAUUCAAACUAAAAAUUAAACUGGACGUGGCCAUCACACACUGGUAAUCUCAAACUGUUUUCGACUUUUCUCUUAAACAACAGUAAACGCUAAACUACACAUGGGUUAACUACGUGAGAGUUAUUGCUAAACAGUCACUAGUUUAUACAGUCCAGAAAUCCGGUAGAGUACACAUGGAGGCCUGCUUAAAUCCUGCAUUAUACUAUAAUCUCAAACUACACCCAACUAAAUUGCCAAAUCCAUGAAAUACAUCUAAUUAAUCAAACAACUAACUAUUAAACAGUCCAAAUUAGUUCAAGUACAUUUCCAAUUCCUACAAGGUGAGUACAAUUGGAAAGAGUCAAAACAAAUACAAAUUAUCUACUAACUAUACUGCUAAGUUAAUUUGAAUAUAUAAACAUAAAAACGCAAACGGGUUGAAGAUUUCAUUGCAUCAUUUCAAUAUCCAAGUUGUAGCAAUACAUGAUUCAAAUAUGUACCUCGUUUUGAGGAAUAUAAGAAGAAUGAAAAGAGGUCAGCUACAGGCUGAAUAAGCAUCAACGCAUAUCAUAGCAGCAGCAAGACAGCAGUAACACCAAUAGCAUAUUACCAACAGCAAUGGAGUAGUUAAAAAAAAAAAACCAACCCACCACCAAUUCAACCAAAAUGAAAUUGAGAAACAAACAGAAAGAGAGCUUGACCACAACAAUAACAACCAAAGACAGAACAACUGGGCUCGACUAAGAUCAAAAACAGAAUCAGCAGACUUCCAAACAGAUUCAGCAAUCAGAAAAGGUAAGAAUCAGGGCCUGGAAUCGAAAUUUCUGCCUAGAACUCAAUGGAACAGUACCCUUUCUUUUAAAAACUGACAAUGACUUGAAGUCUGAAGAUGCUCUCCUGGAUUGAGUAGAAAGAUAACCUAUGGAAAAACUGACUCCCUCUUUAUGAUAUUAUUUUAAGUGUGACCUUUGAGAACUGAUUCCAAAAGCCCCCUUAACAAUACUCUCUAAGAUUCUUAAAGACUGAUCCCUCUUCUCCCCAAAAUUCAGUCCCCUUUCAAACUCUCUUAACCCCUGUAUUUAUAUCAAAUACAGUCCCCCCCCCCCCCCCCCCNNNNNNNNNNNNNNNNNNNNNNNNNNNNNNNNNNNNNNNNNNNNNNNNNNNNNNNNNNNNNNNNNNNNNNNNNNNNNNNNNNNNNNNNNNNNNNNNNNNNNNNNNNNNNNNNNNNNNNNNNNNNNNNNNNNNNNNNNNNNNNNNNNNNNNNNNNNNNNNNNNNNNNNNNNNNNNNNNNNNNNNNNNNNNNNNNNNNNNNNNNNNNNNNNNNNNNNNNNNNNNNNNNNNNNNNNNNNNNNNNNNNNNNNNNNNNNNNNNNNNNNNNNNNNNNNNCCCCCCCCCCCCCCCCCCCCUCUAGUUCUUAUGAGAACUUAGCCAAUUAAAAAAUUCAUUGUCCCAUCAUAUUGCCUGAAGACUACUACUGCCUGUCCCUUUCUAUUAUGUUAAUUCAAAAAUUUAUGGGCAGCCUAAAUUGAAAAUUCAGGCGUGCCCGACAGCCCUUGUUGCUUCCAAUUUGUCCGAAUCAUUUUUUUAAUUCAGUGCUUUAUCUUAAUUUUAUUAAUCAACAAAUCCUAAUUGACUAACAAACAUGGUACAGAUUCAAAUAACAGCUAACAACAAACCACAAUUACACAAAAUUCAAAUGACUAACCAAUUCAGUGUGAUAACCGACUCAGCAUUUCAACUUAUUGCGAUGAACUAAUCUCUAAUUUUAUUCAACGUAUAAACAAAUUAGAAACGAAGCAGGAGGAGAAGAAGAUUGGGAAUUAAACGAAAACCAAAAUAUAACUGAAAGUAAAGGGAAUUGAAAAUACCCGGAUAUCAGGCGGACCAAACAGUGGAAUUACUCAUCAUCCUUUUGAUUUGGAUCGUAACAGACCUUAAUGAUGUGUUUCCAAUAUGAAAACAUACGACUAAGGUCGAAUUAUGGUCUAAAGCUCCUCACCGUUCCCAUUGGCUUUUGAGUUAAAGUUAGGGAUCAGUUUUCGUGAUUUCAAAUUUGAGACUCUAGGCCCACAUUCAAAGGAAGCCAGGUGUGGAUUUGGGGUGAGGGAGUCAAGUAGGUCAUUGGGUGUUAGUUUGGGAAGGUUUGGAGGUGGUGCCGUCAUCGGGGAUUUUAGAGUGGCGCUAGGAUUCCUCCCUUUGAAGGGAUAUUCAAGGGGAUUGGCUUGGAUUCGAGGAAAAGUGUUUGGAUAAUCGGAAUGGGGAGGUCGAGGAGCUAUGGUGUAAAAUUUGGAGGGUUUGGGCCACCGGAACCGCCGUGAGGCGAUUUCUGGUGGGCGGACCACGGUGGAGUCUAGGCGGAGAGUUUGUUUGGUCUCUGAGGUUAGAGACAGAGAGGUCAACGGUUGGGUUUGGCUUGG
Molecule: long non-coding RNA, 7173 nt
Filed under: Nicotiana benthamiana
Lineage: Eukaryota; Viridiplantae; Streptophyta; Magnoliopsida; Solanales; Solanaceae
Description: long non-coding RNA (NBEN_LNC034082)
Source: RNAcentral